RNAcentral lists this ribosomal RNA (478 nucleotides) under uncultured organism. Its description in RNAcentral is "partial 16S ribosomal RNA". It matches the Rfam family "Bacterial small subunit ribosomal RNA", at positions 330 to 799 of the family's 1533-position model. The record is from RNAcentral.
CGUACACUCCUGCGGGAGGCAGCAGUGGGGAAUUUUGGACAAUGGGCGAAAGCCUGAUCCAGCCAUGCCGCGUGCAGGAUGAAGGCCUUCGGGUUGUAAACUGCUUUUGUACGGAACGAAACGGCCUUUUCUAAUAAAGAGGGCUAAUGACGGUACCGUAAGAAUAAGCACCGGCUAACUACGUGCCAGCAGCCGCGGUAAUACGUAGGGUGCAAGCGUUAAUCGGAAUUACUGGGCGUAAAGCGUGCGCAGGCGGUUAUGUAAGACAGUUGUGAAAUCCCCGGGCUCAACCUGGGAACUGCAUCUGUGACUGCAUAGCUAGAGUACGGUAGAGGGGGAUGGAAUUCCGCGUGUAGCAGUGAAAUGCGUAGAUAUGCGGAGGAACACCGAUGGCGAAGGCAAUCCCCUGGACCUGUACUGACGCUCAUGCACGAAAGCGUGGGGAGCAAACAGGAUUAGAAACCCUAGUAGUCCCAUG